This 255-nucleotide ribosomal RNA is filed under the name uncultured bacterium. RNAcentral describes it as "partial 16S ribosomal RNA". It matches the Rfam family "Bacterial small subunit ribosomal RNA", at positions 13 to 278 of the family's 1533-position model. The record is from RNAcentral.
GUAAUCAUGGCUCAGAACGAACGCUGGCGGCAGGCUUAACACAUGCAAGUUGAACGGGAUUUGUGUGGUGCUUGCACCAUAUAAUGAGAGUAGCGCACUGGUGAGUAACACGUGGGAACGUACCUUUUGGUGGGGGACAACAUCUGGAAACGGAUGCUAAUACCGCAUAAGACCUGAGGGUGAAAGAUUUAUCGCCGAAAGAACGGCCCGCGGAAGAUUAGGCAGUUGGUGGGGUAAAGGCCUACCAAACCUACG